UCUUUUUCGAAGGUAGAGUCAGGUGAUUGAUAGGAUCAUUUUGCGAACUAGUGUCCAAUGAGAUGGGUGCUGAGAUUUUGUCUUUGUCCUUCAUGAUCUUGCGUUGCAGCCGUUCAAUGAUCCACAAGAUUCCCAAAGCUUCGGCAACCACAACCGUCACCACCCCAACAAAAAAAAACCGAGGAAGAGAAUGAAGAUAAAAACCAAAAACAUUUUCUUUUCCUUCUUUCAACACCCCAAUUGAUGGAAAAACUAUAAGGACAAUUUAAAAAAAAAUGGAAUACGAGAGAAUGAGAGGAAUGAGGUGAAAAGGAAGACGAACCCCAGAUGAGGAAAUUGAGAACGACCCAGAUGAGAGAUGAAGUUAAAAUUGGAAUCUUUAUUUUACAUUUGUUCUUAAGAAUCGGAUGCUAAAAUUAAAAGCUGCAUUUUCUCUCUUUUUUGUUGUUCCUUCUGCAUUUUCUCUCUUUCAAACAGGGCAGCAACCUGUUUGUCUGCAACAUCUACGAAUUGAGUUUUGGAGCGAAACCAAUUUUAUUAUAAAAUUUAAUUAAUUUGCUUUAUUUCUCUAAAAC
Molecule: long non-coding RNA, 575 nt
Filed under: Arachis ipaensis
Lineage: Eukaryota; Viridiplantae; Streptophyta; Magnoliopsida; Fabales; Fabaceae
Description: long non-coding RNA (AIPA_LNC001338)
Source: RNAcentral